AGAGUUUGAUCAUGGCUCAGAUUGAACGCUGGCGGCAGGCCUAACACAUGCAAGUCGAGCGGUAGCACAGAGAGCUUGCUCUCGGGUGACGAGCGGCGGACGGGUGAGUAAUGUCUGGGAAACUGCCUGAUGGAGGGGGAUAACUACUGGAAACGGUAGCUAAUACCGCAUAACGUCGCAAGACCAAAGUGGGGGACCUUCGGGCCUCAUGCCAUCAGAUGUGCCCAGAUGGGAUUAGCUAGUAGGUGGGGUAACGGCUCACCUAGGCGACGAUCCCUAGCUGGUCUGAGAGGAUGACCAGCCACACUGGAACUGAGACACGGUCCAGACUCCUACGGGAGGCAGCAGUGGGGAAUAUUGCACAAUGGGCGCAAGCCUGAUGCAGCCAUGCCGCGUGUGUGAAGAAGGCCUUCGGGUUGUAAAGCACUUUCAGCGGGGAGGAAGGCGUUAAGGUUAAUAACCUUGGCGAUUGACGUUACCCGCAGAAGAAGCACCGGCUAACUCCGUGCCAGCAGCCGCGGUAAUACGGAGGGUGCAAGCGUUAAUCGGAAUUACUGGGCGUAAAGCGCACGCAGGCGGUCUGUCAAGUCGGAUGUGAAAUCCCCGGGCUCAACCUGGGAACUGCAUUCGAAACUGGCAGGCUAGAGUCUUGUAGAGGGGGGUAGAAUUCCAGGUGUAGCGGUGAAAUGCGUAGAGAUCUGGAGGAAUACCGGUGGCGAAGGCGGCCCCCUGGACAAAGACUGACGCUCAGGUGCGAAAGCGUGGGGAGCAAACAGGAUUAGAUACCCUGGUAGUCCACGCCGUAAACGAUGUCGAUUUGGAGGUUGUGCCCUUGAGGCGUGGCUUCCGGAGCUAACGCGUUAAAUCGACCGCCUGGGGAGUACGGCCGCAAGGUUAAAACUCAAAUGAAUUGACGGGGGCCCGCACAAGCGGUGGAGCAUGUGGUUUAAUUCGAUGCAACGCGAAGAACCUUACCUGGUCUUGACAUCCACAGAACUUUGCAGAGAUGGUUUGGUGCCUUCGGGAACUGUGAGACAGGUGCUGCAUGGCUGUCGUCAGCUCGUGUUGUGAAAUGUUGGGUUAAGUCCCGCAACGAGCGCAACCCUUAUCCUUUGUUGCCAGCGGUUCGGCCGGGAACUCAAAGGAGACUGCCAGUGAUAAACUGGAGGAAGGUGGGGAUGACGUCAAGUCAUCAUGGCCCUUACGACCAGGGCUACACACGUGCUACAAUGGCAUAUACAAAGAGAAGCGACCUCGCGAGAGCAAGCGGACCUCAUAAAGUAUGUCGUAGUCCGGAUUGGAGUCUGCAACUCGACUCCAUGAAGUCGGAAUCGCUAGUAAUCGUAGAUCAGAAUGCUACGGUGAAUACGUUCCCGGGCCUUGUACACACCGCCCGUCACACCAUGGGAGUGGGUUGCAAAAGAAGUAGGUAGCUUAACCUUCGGGAGGGCGCUUACCACUUUGUGAUUCAUGACUGGGGUGAAGUCGUAACAAGGUAACCGUAGGGGAACCUGCGGUUGGAUCACCU
RNAcentral lists this ribosomal RNA (1528 nucleotides) under Klebsiella pneumoniae. Its description in RNAcentral is "bacterial SSU rRNA". It matches the Rfam family "Bacterial small subunit ribosomal RNA". Lineage: Bacteria; Pseudomonadati; Pseudomonadota; Gammaproteobacteria; Enterobacterales; Enterobacteriaceae. The record is from RNAcentral.